Molecule: ribosomal RNA, 251 nt
Filed under: uncultured prokaryote
Description: partial 16S rRNA
Rfam family: Bacterial small subunit ribosomal RNA
Source: RNAcentral
ACAGAGGGUGCAAGCGUUAAUCGGAAUUACUGGGCGUAAAGCGCGCGUAGGUGGUUUGUUAAGUUGGAUGUGAAAGCCCCGGGCUCAACCUGGGAACUGCAUCCAAAACUGGCAAGCUAGAGUAUGGUAGAGGGUGGUGGAAUUUCCUGUGUAGCGGUGAAAUGCGUAGAUAUAGGAAGGAACACCAGUGGCGAAGGCGACCACCUGGACUGAUACUGACACUGAGGUGCGAAAGCGUGGGGAGCAAACAG